AACGAACGCUGGCGGCAGGCUUAACACAUGCAAGUCGAACGGGCACCUUCGGGUGUCAGUGGCAGACGGGUGAGUAACGCGUGGGAACGUACCCUUCGGUUCGGAAUAACCCACGGGAAACUUGGGCGUAACACCGGAUACGUCCGCAAGGAGAAAGAUUUAUCGCCGAAGGAUCGGCCCGCGUCGGAUUAGCUAGUUGGUGGGGUAAGUGGCCCAUCAAGGCGGACGAUCCGUAGCUGGUCUGAGAGGAUGAUCAGCCACACUGGGACGUGAGACACGGCCCAGACUCCUACGGGAGGCAGCAGUGGGGAAUAUUGGACAAUGGGCGAAAGGCCUGAUCCAGCCAUGCCGCGUGAGUGAAGAAGGCCUUAGGGUUGUAAAGCUCUUUCAGCGGGGAAGAUAAUGACGGUACCCGCAGAAGAAGUCCC
This 428-nucleotide ribosomal RNA is filed under the name uncultured bacterium. Its description in RNAcentral is "bacterial SSU rRNA". It matches the Rfam family "Bacterial small subunit ribosomal RNA", at positions 29 to 494 of the family's 1533-position model. The record is from RNAcentral.